This 76-nucleotide transfer RNA is filed under the name Desulfuromonadaceae bacterium. RNAcentral describes it as "tRNA-Ala". It matches the Rfam family "tRNA". Rfam says of the family: Transfer RNA (tRNA) molecules are approximately 80 nucleotides in length. RNAcentral also lists the same sequence under 1 other name. Lineage: Bacteria; Pseudomonadati; Thermodesulfobacteriota; Desulfuromonadia; Desulfuromonadales; Desulfuromonadaceae. The record is from RNAcentral.
GGGGGUGUAGCUCAGCUGGGAGAGCGCUUGGCUGGCAGCCAAGAGGUCAUCGGUUCGAUCCCGUUCACCUCCACCA